CAUCGAGCGACACACGUUAGCGAUGUGUCGCAAGAGGGAACCCGGUGAGAAUCCGGGACUGUCCCGCAGCGGUGUGCAGGAACGACCGCCGUCUUAUAGCACUGGUCUGGCGACUGGGAAGCGACGGCCAGUAGGAGCACCACCGGGUGCGCGCCUGCGAGUCCGAAGACCUGCCGGCUGUGCCGGGCGCGC
Molecule: non-coding RNA, 192 nt
Filed under: Mycobacterium lacus
Lineage: Bacteria; Bacillati; Actinomycetota; Actinomycetes; Mycobacteriales; Mycobacteriaceae
Source: RNAcentral